Molecule: ribosomal RNA, 253 nt
Filed under: uncultured bacterium
Lineage: Bacteria
Description: partial 16S ribosomal RNA
Rfam family: Bacterial small subunit ribosomal RNA
Source: RNAcentral
GACAGAGGUGCCAAGCGUUAGGCGGAAUCACUGGGCUUAAAGCGUGUGUAGGCGGAUGCCUAAGUACCUUGUGAAAUCCCACAGCUCAACUGUGGAACUGCCUCGGAUACUGGGUGCCUCGAGGGUGGUAGGGGUAGGCGGAACUAUCGGUGGAGCGGUGAAAUGCGUUGAUAUCGAUAGGAACUCCGGUGGCGAAGGCGGCAUACUGGACCACAUCUGACGCUGAGGCGCGAAAGCCAGGGGAGCGAACGGG